Molecule: ribosomal RNA, 429 nt
Filed under: Pseudomonadota bacterium
Lineage: Bacteria; Pseudomonadati; Pseudomonadota
Description: Proteobacteria bacterium partial 16S ribosomal RNA
Rfam family: Bacterial small subunit ribosomal RNA
Source: RNAcentral
UGGGGAAUAUUGGACAAUGGGCGAAAGCCUGAUCCAGCCAUGCCGCGUGUGUGAAGAAGGUCUUCGGAUUGUAAAGCACUUUAAGUUGGGAGGAAGGGCAGUAAGCGAAUACCUUGCUGUUUUGACGUUACCGACAGAAUAAGCACCGGCUAACUCUGUGCCAGCAGCCGCGGUAAUACAGAGGGUGCAAGCGUUAAUUGGAAUUACUGGGCGUAAAGCGCGCGUAGGUGGUUCGUUAAGUUGAAUGUGAAAGCCCCGGGCUCAACCUGGGAACUGCAUCCAAAACAGGCGAGCUAGAGUAGGGCAGAGGGUGGUGGAAUUUCCUGUGUAGCGGUGCAAUGCGUAGAUAUAGGAAGGAACACCAGUUGCGAAGGCGACCACCUGGGCUCAUACUGACACUGAGGUGCGAAAGCGUGGGGAGCAAACAGG